This 560-nucleotide ribosomal RNA is filed under the name uncultured bacterium. RNAcentral's name for it is "bacterial SSU rRNA". It matches the Rfam family "Bacterial small subunit ribosomal RNA", at positions 28 to 583 of the family's 1533-position model. The record is from RNAcentral.
AUUGAACGCUGGCGGCAGGCCUAACACAUGCAAGUCGAGCGGUAGAGAGAAGCUUGCUUCUCUUGAGAGCGGCGGACGGGUGAGUAAUGCCUAGGAAUCUGCCUGGUAGUGGGGGAUAACGCUCGGAAACGGACGCUAAUACCGCAUACGUCCUACGGGAGAAAGCAGGGGACCUUCGGGCCUUGCGCUAUCAGAUGAGCCUAGGUCGGAUUAGCUAGUUGGUGGGGUAAUGGCUCACCAAGGCGACGAUCCGUAACUGGUCUGAGAGGAUGAUCAGUCACACUGGAACUGAGACACGGCCCAGACUCCUACGGGAGGCAGCAGUGGGGAAUAUUGGACAAUGGGCGAAAGCCUGAUCCAGCCAUGCCGCGUGUGUGAAGAAGGUCUUCGGAUUGUAAAGCACUUUAAGUUGGGAGGAAGGGCAGUAACCUAAUACGUUGCUGCCUUGACGUUACCGACAGAAUAAGCACCGGCUAACUUCGUGCCAGCAGCCGCGGUAAUACGAAGGGUGCAAGCGUUAAUCGGAAUUACUGGGCGUAAAGCGCGCGUAGGUGGUUCGU